RNAcentral lists this ribosomal RNA (394 nucleotides) under uncultured bacterium. Its description in RNAcentral is "partial 16S ribosomal RNA". It matches the Rfam family "Bacterial small subunit ribosomal RNA", at positions 523 to 918 of the family's 1533-position model. The record is from RNAcentral.
AUACGGAGGAUCCGAGCGUUAUCCGGAUUUAUUGGGUUUAAAGGGUGCGCAGGCGGCCAUUUAAGUCAGCGGUUAAAUCGUGGGGCUCAACCCCAUUCUGCCGUUGAUACUGGGUGGCUUGAUUGCGGUCGAGGUUGGCGGAAUUCGUUGUGUAGCGGUGAAAUGCAUAGAUAUGACGAAGAACACCGAUUGCGUAGGCAGCUGACCAUACCGCAAAUGACGCGCAUGCACGAAAGUACGGGGAUCGAAAAGGUUUAGAUACCCUGGUAGUCCACGCCAUAAACGAUGAGCACUAGAUGUUGGGACAGCGAUGUCUCGGUAUCGUAGUUAACGCAAUAAGUGCUCCGCCUGGGGAGUACGCGCGCAAGCGUAAAACUCAAAUGAAUUGGCGGGG